CAAGAGCGUAUGUAAAAGUUGUUGCAGUUAAAAAGCUCGUAGUUGAACCUUGGGUUUGGUUGGCCGGUCCGCUUUUUUGCGAGUACUGGAUUCAACCGAGCCUUUCCUUCUGGCUAACCAGUCGCUUCGGCGGCUGGCGAACCAGGAUUUUUACUUUGAGAAAAUUAGAGUGUUCAAAGCAGGCAUUAGCUUGAAUAUAUUAGCAUGGAAUAAUAGAAUAGGACGUUAUGGUUCUAUUUUGUUGGUUUCUAGGACCAUCGUAAUGAUUAAUAGGGACGGUCGGGGGCAUCAGUAUUCAGUUGUCAGAGGUGAAAUUCUUGGAUUUACUGAAGACUAACUACUGCGAAAGCAUUUGCCAAGGACGUUUUCAUUAA
This 374-nucleotide ribosomal RNA is filed under the name uncultured eukaryote. RNAcentral's name for it is "partial 18S ribosomal RNA". It matches the Rfam family "Eukaryotic small subunit ribosomal RNA", at positions 592 to 976 of the family's 1831-position model. The record is from RNAcentral.